GAUGAACGCUAGCUACAGGCUUAACACAUGCAAGUCGAGGGGAAACGAUAUUGGAAGCUUGCUUCCGAUAGGCGUCGACCGGCGCACGGGUGAGUAACGCGUAUCCAACCUGCCCACCACUUGGGGAUAACCUUGCGAAAGUAAGACUAAUACCCAAUGAUAUCUCUAGAAGACAUCUGAAGGAGAUUAAAGAUUCAUCGGUGAUGGAUGGGGAUGCGUCUGAUUAGCUUGUUGGCGGGGUAACGGCCCACCAAGGCGACGAUCAGUAGGGGUUCUGAGAGGAAGGUCCCCCACAUUGGAACUGAGACACGGUCCAAACUCCUACGGGAGGAAGCAGUGAGGAAUAUUGGUCAAUGGGCGAGAGCCUGAACCAGCCAAGUGGCGUGCAGGAUGACGGCCCUAUGGGUUGUAAACUGCUUUUAUAAGGGAAUAAAGUGAGUCUCGUGAGACUUUUUGCAUGUACCUUAUGAAUAAGGACCGGCUAAUUCCGUGCCAGCAGCCGCCGUAA
This 508-nucleotide ribosomal RNA is filed under the name uncultured bacterium. Its description in RNAcentral is "partial 16S ribosomal RNA". It matches the Rfam family "Bacterial small subunit ribosomal RNA", at positions 28 to 523 of the family's 1533-position model. The record is from RNAcentral.